AAUGUGUACUAUAUAAAAUUAACUGAGAGUUAAAAUUUUUAUAUCUGGAUGAGAACAUUUAUUAUAAAUCAACUAUAUUAGCGAGUAUACAGAGAGAGUAGGGUGUUCAAGCAUCGUAGCUAGCUAGCUGGCUAGUAUUUUUCUUUUCUUAUCUUUAAACUACUCUUUUUUUUCUUUUUCUUUUUCUUUGUUUUUUACUUUAUACCAUAAAAUAUAGGAUAAUUUGUGCUAUGAUUUAUUUUAGGAUAAAAAAUAUAUAAAUUCAAAAUUUUGCAUAAUUACUAAUUUGAGUGUCAGUAAUUAGUUUAUAAAUAACAUAUUCUAAUGAAAUACUGUAUUGGGCUAAAUUGCACUGUUACCUCCUAAGUUUUUUGUGGAGUUUCAUUUUAUCCUCCAAACUCAUAAAAUGAAGAUUUAAUAUUCUAAACUUUAAUAUUUCAUUCAUAUUAUUUUUUUCAUCAAUUUUUGAUUAACGAAACUUGAAGGUAAAUUGACGAAAAGAAUAACAUAAAUAAAACAUUAGAGUUUAAAAUAUUAAAUUUUUUUUAGCAGUUUGAGAGGGUGACAGUGCAAUUUACCCAAAUAAAAAAUAAAAGGUUAAACUUCAAAUACCCCUAUGUGGUUUCACACUUUCUCACUUUAGUAUUUUGUGAUUUAAAGUGUAUCAAAUUAGCUCCCGUGGUUUCGCACUUUCUCACUUUAGUACCCUGUGGUUUAAAGUGUAUUAAGUUAGUACCCGUUUCAUUUUUCUCUUUUUAUUAUUCAUUUCACUAAUUUUUUUUUUGUUAAAUCAGUGACAAAGUUAAAUUUAAAGGGUACUAAAGUGAAUAUUCGAUAAACCUAGGUAGGGUAUAUGAAGUUUUUUGUAAUUUAACAAAAUAUUAAUGCAGGAAAAAAAAAUUAGUGAUGAAGUUAAAACUAAAGGGUACUAAAGUAAAUAUUCGAUAAAUCUAGAUAAGAUAUAUGAAGUUUUUUGUAUGUAAUUUAACGAAAUAUUAACAGAGGAGCCGACGAAAAAAAAAAAAGAAGAAGAAACCAUAGAGUACAAAAUUGAUGCAUUUUAAACUAUAGAAUAUUAAAAUAAAAAAGUACGAAAAUACUAGAUACUAAAUUAAUGUAUUUUUAAUCGUGGGGUACUACAAUGAAAAAGGUACGAAACUAAGGGUUGGUUUUUGA
This 1176-nucleotide long non-coding RNA is filed under the name Ananas comosus (pineapple). RNAcentral's name for it is "long non-coding RNA (ACOM_LNC033845)". The record is from RNAcentral. Lineage: Eukaryota; Viridiplantae; Streptophyta; Magnoliopsida; Poales; Bromeliaceae.